Long non-coding RNA from Columba livia (rock pigeon), 4243 nucleotides. RefSeq lists it as uncharacterized. The record is from RefSeq and is a predicted model, not a curated record. Lineage: Eukaryota; Metazoa; Chordata; Aves; Columbiformes; Columbidae. The transcript is spliced from 4 exons.
GGGCGGAAGUUCCUCGUUCCCCUCAAGGGAGGUCCGCCAUGACAGUUACCGAGGCGGCGCCUCGGCCGUUGCGGAAGGCGGUUGUGGCGGGCGGCUGGGCUGCAGGCGGCGGGAAGGCUGUGGCAGAGCAGGGGAGGUGAGGGUGCGCACCCUCUGAGGAAAACCUGUCCCCUCUACGCCAUUUUUGACCUAUUAUAAUAUUUUUUCCAGCAUGCUGAGAUGUGUAGCAACCUGAGAGAGUGUGAGGGUGGGCGCUGGAGAAAGGGCUAGAGUCCCUGUCUGUGGAGGCUGGGUUUUGUUGUGCCACAGCACAUCCUGCGCUGGUGGCAGGGCCUAGGCAGGGGUGACUAAAAGCCCCUUUGGUGUCAAUGCUGCUGGUUCUUUGUGGAGGAGUCUUGCAGCUCACACAUUGACUUUGCUGAUAUCUGCUGGGCAAGUCCUGCUAGUGCUGGCCUCUCCUUAGGAAAGGCAGAGGGGUGCAGCUUGGCUUCUCAGAGAAUCACAGGAUGCUUGAGGUGGGAGGAGGCCUCUUGAGAGGGGAUCCAGCCCCCUGAGCAAGCAGGAUCAGCCAGAGCAGGUUGCCCAGGACCAUGUCUGUUUUGUUCUGAAUAUUUCAAAGUAUGGAGACUCUAGAACCUCUCUGGGCAACCCACAUCAGUGUGUGACCACACCCACAGUAAAAAGAAAGUGGUUUGCUAUGUUCACAUAGAGUUUCAUGUGUUUCAAUCUGUGUCUGUUGCAUCCUGUUGUGUCACCGGGUACCACUGAGAAGAGCCUGGCUCCCUUGACUUCCCUCCCAUCAGGUAUUUAUAUACAUUGAUGAGACCACUCUAAGCCUUUCCCAGUCACAGCUCUUCUAGCCAUUCCUUGUAGGAGAGAUGCUCCUAUCCCUUCAUCUUCUUUGUGGCCUUUGUUGGACUCUUUUUGGUCUGUCCACAUCUCUCCUGCACUGGGAAGCCCAGAACAGGACACAACAAACCAGGUGCUGAGCAAACUCACCUCGCUCGACCAGCUGGCAAUGCGUCUCUCAAUGCAGCCUAGGAUGCUGUUGGUGCAUGGCUUGCUUGUUGUCCACCAACAUCCCCAAGUCCUUCUCUGCUUGCCAGCCAGCCCACCCCUGCUGCCCUUUGCUGAACUUCAUGAGAUAUCUGUCAGCCCACUUCUCCAGCCUAUUUGAGUGACUAUGACUAGCUAGGUGACUAACUCUGUGUGUCUAGUCUUAUUUGUAUGGGGAUUUUUAUGGAUGACACUGGAUAUGUUGUUCCUGUUCACAUUUGCAGUACAAUGUGUUCUGGUUACCUGAAAUUUGGAAUCUGGCACAGCUGGUGAAAGCUGAUGAUACUGUAUGUUUAUACAAGGUCUUGCAACUUUUAGAAUUCACCUUGCAAAUGCUGGAAAGUCUGUGUGAGCUGAGACAGAAAUAUUGCUGUAGUUUCUUUCUAGAUGAAAACAUGACAUGUAAAUACAUCAAGACCUGAUUUUACAAAUCAGAGGCAGAUUCCUUGGAGGUGGCAGGAGAGGGAAAUAUUAUGGAAAUUGAAGUCUUGUCUUUUUUCCCUUAAUCUGCUUGAUACGCUGUGUGCUUUGUGUCAACUCAUUAGAGAGAUUCUGUACAAACUAACUUUCUCAUAAUUAAUAUCCCAUCUGCCUUAAGAGGUGCCAAUGACUUUUUCAUUCCUCGUUGUUGGGACAUGGCUAAUAGAGAAGGGGCAUGGCUCUAUUGAUCCGUUGUAUCAGGAGAAUUUUGUUCUAAGUUAGCAUGAGUAGGCCUCAGUUAGCAUGAGUCUGGUGCAGUAUAAGUGGAAAAGUACUGAGCGGUCGCUCUCUGGUUAGCUGAGCGUCUAAGAUAAACAAGCUGGGGAAUUAUCUCUAGCAGGGUGAGAAGGUUGCAUUCCAGAGAAACCACAAGAAGGUUGAGCUCAUUAUGUAUACUAUCCAAUUAAUAGAAGACGAGUAGGCAUAAUUAUUGUAUACUAUCCAAUUAAUAGAAGACGAGUAGGCAUAAUUAUUGUAUGCUAUCCAAUUAAUAGAUGACAAGUAGGCAUAAUUACUGUAAGUCUUAUAUAAACCAGCUUAGUGUCUCAAUAAAGCGAGGUAUGCUUAUCACUCAUAUUGGGUCGACCGCAUUCCUUCCUCCGUCCGCUCGGGUUUGGAACUCUGAUGGAAUUUUUCUCUCGGCAAUUGGCGCCCGAACCGGCGAUCCGAAGCGGCGGAUAGAAGCAAAAGGCGCCGGGAGAGCAGCGACCGGCGGGCAAGAGCGACCGAACACUGUGCUGCGGUGUGUCGUCUCCGAAGCCUGAACCGACUGAAGUUCGCCAGUGCUGGGCUACAGGAAACAAGGGCUGCAAGAGGUCUCUUAAUUUAGCAAGAGCUGAACUUCAUAUCUACUGACUGUGCUUUCCUGCAGUUUUCAGAAGACCAGAGUUAUCAGUAAGAGAAAGAAGACUACAGGCCUAUCUUUGUUUACUUUGUAGUCCCUGCACGGUACUGGAAUGGGAAGUGUGGAGUCAGUCAGUGCAAAUGAGAAUCAAGCUGCACGUUUGAAAAGCAGUGAGCAACUGAAGAAAUAGUUUUGAAGAGGAGACCUUAUUAUUAGCCUUUCUAACAUCAUCGUCAAAGAGGAAAAUCUCCAGUUUACUUGACAUUUCUUAUGUGACUGUGGGAAAACAGAACAGCAUUUUGCACCACAUUGCCAUCUGUGGGAAAGCGCCUGAAAUUCACUGCUCAUACUUUUUUAUCCAUGCUGUAUGAAAAUGACUCCAAAUUUAGAGUUGUAUUAAAUGUGGCAUCAUGUGCUGCUAGGAACAAAGUAGGUCAAAACAACCAUGUCAGUAUUGCACAUGCAGCUUUACAGCCUUCCUAGUGGAGCAUAAGCAACAUGAACAAGAGGCUUUAAGAUCAUCCACUGCUAAACUGCAGUGUGGAGACAAGUCCUAGACCUGUGUUGGCAGAUCUAGAGAGAGCCCAGGGGCCAUGCUUGGCCCAAGGCGGGUAGAGCUGGUGAGCCCUGGGAAAAGUUUUGUUUGGUGCUCUAGUGGCAGUGUAGGGUCUUCUCAUAACCUUUCAGUCCAGGGCUAUGACCAGGAGACACAAGACUGUCUUUUCUUAGCCAGAGGGGUAAGUUUUGAAUGUUAAUAUAAUUACUAUCUGUGAUAAUUACCUGAAAAGUAGCUGGAGAAAAAUAUUUUUUAACUGAAAGAGGGUAGGUUUAGAUUGGAUAUUAGGAAAAAAAUUCUGAUUUAUAGGGGCAGUGAGGCACUGGAACAGGUUGACCAGAGAAGCUACGGAUGCUCCAUCCCUGGAAACACUCAAGGCCAGGCUGGAUGGUGCUUUGAACAAUCUGGUCUAGCGGAAGAUGUCCCUGCCCAUAGCAGGGAGGUUGGAACUAGGUAAAGUUUAGAGGUCCUUUCUAACCCAAGCCGUUCUAUGGUUCUAUGAUGCUAUGCUUUCUGGAAACUGAUUCUAGUCUGAUAUCUCCAGCUUAAGCAUUACUAAAUAAGAAACCAUAUGGGUUACUUGCAAAAUACAGGUGUGCAAUUUCUCUGUAUCAAUGAUUUAAUUAGAUUUGUGUUGAAAUUUUCAGUAAUGACUCUAUGUUAGUGUUUAAAGACAUGUUCUGUAGCCCUGGUGUAUACUUUAUGUUCCUCUCAAGCAAAAAGAUUCAUGUUUUCUGAAUCCUUUGCAGUAAGAAUGAUGAUAAACAUUUUUAGCUAGUGCUUUUCAUCUUUAGAUCUGAAAGUGCCUUAUAAAUGCACAUAUCACUUACCAAAAAGGUCUUUAUGUGAUCAAACAAAGUAAAAUUCACAUAAAGCAACAAUGAGCCAUAAACAUUUUCUAAAGUGACUUGCAGUGCAUUGUCUAAGCGCUGUUUUAGUAGGGAGAGGUAGAUGUGGAAAAAAUUCUUAUGUUUGCCUAAGUUCAUGAUGACUUUUACUCAACAAAAUGAUUAUUUUCAGCAUCUGCAUUAAUGGAAUCGCUGGGGAGUUCAUGUUUAUGUGUGAUUUUUAUCUGGUAUCUAAGCUAGAGGUCAAAACACAAAAUUUGCAUUUAAAAAAAUGGUGCAGAUUUGUCAUGCUCCCCGAAGGCCUUGUUCCAUGAGCGGGGAGGUGGAUUACAAUCAGAUAUGAAUAUUUUCAUGUUUGAAGUAUAAGAUCUUGUUUUACUUUAGUUCCUAUGUAACUGGUUCGUUCCAAUCAAGAUUUUAACAUUUCAGGAAAUAAAAAUUAAAAGUCAUUUAGUAUUA